RNAcentral lists this unclassified non-coding RNA (364 nucleotides) under soil metagenome. RNAcentral describes it as "partial contains 5.8S ribosomal RNA, internal transcribed spacer 2, and large subunit ribosomal RNA". The stretch from base 1 to 120 matches the Rfam family "5.8S ribosomal RNA", at positions 35 to 154 of the family's 154-position model. The record is from RNAcentral.
GAUGAAGAACGCAGUGAAAUGCGAUAAGUAAUGUGAAUUGCAGAAUUCCGUGAAUCAUCGAAUCUUUGAACGCACAUUGCGCCCUCUGGCAUUCCGGGGGGCAUGCCUGUCCGAGCGUCAUUGCAAACCCUCAAGCACGGCUUGUGUGUUGGGUCACUACGUCCCCGAUACUCGGGGGACGGGCCCGAAAGGCAGUGGCGGCGUCGCGUUUAUCCGAUCAGCCGAAGCGUAUGGGGACUCUUCACACGCUCAGCGGCGCGGACCGACGCCUGCCUAAGCCAUAAUGGCGUCUAUUCUUUCCAAGGUUUGACCUCGGAUCAGGUAGGGAUACCCGCUGAACUUAAGCAUAUCAAUAAGUGGAGGA